Molecule: ribosomal RNA, 374 nt
Filed under: uncultured bacterium
Lineage: Bacteria
Description: bacterial SSU rRNA
Rfam family: Bacterial small subunit ribosomal RNA
Source: RNAcentral
GACGAACGCUGGCGGCGUGCUUAACACAUGCAAGUCGAGCGGUAAGGCCCUUUCGGGGGUACACGAGCGGCGAACGGGUGAGUAACAUGUGGGUGACCUGCCCUCAGCUCUGGGAUAAGCCUGGGAAACUGGGUCUAAUACUGGAUAUGACUCCACGGUGCAUGUCGUGGGGUGGAAAGCCUUGUGCGGCUGAGGAUGGGCCCGCGGCCUAUCAGCUUGUUGUGGGGUGAUGGCCUACCAAGGCGACGACGGUAGCCGGCCUGAGAGGCGACCGGCCACACUGGGACUGAGACACGGCCCAGGACUCCUACGGGAGGCAGGCAGUGGGGAAUCUUGCGCAAUGGGCGAAAGCCUGACGCAGCGACGCCGCGUGA